Molecule: ribosomal RNA, 422 nt
Filed under: uncultured bacterium
Lineage: Bacteria
Description: bacterial SSU rRNA
Rfam family: Bacterial small subunit ribosomal RNA
Source: RNAcentral
UCUUCCGCAAUGGACGAAAGUCUGACGGAGCAACGCCGCGUGAGUGAUGAAGGUUUUCGGAUCGUAAAACUCUGUUGUUAGGGAAGAACAAGUAACGUUCGAAUAGGGCGGCACCUUGACGGUACCUAACCAGAACGACACGGCUAACUACGUGCCAGCAGCCGCGGUAAUACGUAGGUGGCAAGCGUUGUCCGGAAUUAUUGGGCGUAAAGCGCGCGCAGGCGGUUUGUUAAGUCUGAUGUGAAAGCCCCCGGCUCAACCGGGGAGGGUCAUUGGAAACUGGGGAACUUGAGUGCAGAAGAGGAGAGUGGAAUUCCACGUGUAGCGGUGAAAUGCGUAGAGAUGUAGAGGAACACCAGUGGCGAAGGCGACUCUCUGGUCUGAAACUGACGCUGAGGCGCGAAAGCGUGGGGAGCGAGCAG